This 2389-nucleotide ribosomal RNA is filed under the name Arthrobacter saudimassiliensis. RNAcentral's name for it is "bacterial LSU rRNA". It matches the Rfam family "Bacterial large subunit ribosomal RNA", at positions 698 to 2925 of the family's 2925-position model. The record is from RNAcentral. Lineage: Bacteria; Bacillati; Actinomycetota; Actinomycetes; Micrococcales; Micrococcaceae.
AGUGGCGUGAUCUAGACCCGAAGCGGAGUGAUCUACCCAUGGCCAGGUUGAAGCGACGGUAAGACGUCGUGGAGGACCGAACCCACUUCAGUUGAAAAUGGAGGGGAUGAGCUGUGGGUAGGGGUGAAAGGCCAAUCAAACUCCGUGAUAGCUGGUUCUCCCCGAAAUGCAUUUAGGUGCAGCGUUGCGUGUUUCUUGCCGGAGGUAGAGCUACUGGAUGGCCGAUGGGCCCUACAAGGUUACUGACGUCAGCCAAACUCCGAAUGCCGGUAAGUGAGAGCGCAGCAGUGAGACUGUGGGGGAUAAGCUUCAUAGUCGAGAGGGAAACAGCCCAGACCACCAACUAAGGCCCCUAAGCGUGUGCUAAGUGGGAAAGGAUGUGGAGUUGCUCAGACAACCAGGAGGUUGGCUUAGAAGCAGCCAUCCUUGAAAGAGUGCGUAAUAGCUCACUGGUCAAGUGAUUCCGCGCCGACAAUGUAGCGGGGCUCAAGUACACCGCCGAAGUUGUGGCAUUCACACUAGACCCCAGCCUUCGUGGUUCAGGGGUGUGGAUGGGUAGGGGAGCGUCGUGUGGGCAGUGAAGCUGCGGUGUAAACCAGUGGUGGAGCCUACACGAGUGAGAAUGCAGGCAUGAGUAGCGAAAGACGGGUGAGAAACCCGUCCGCCGAAUGAUCAAGGGUUCCAGGGUCAAGCUAAUCUGCCCUGGGUAAGUCGGGACCUAAGGCGAGGCCGACAGGCGUAGUCGAUGGACAACGGGUUGAUAUUCCCGUACCGGCGAAGAACCGCCCAUACCAAGCGGGGGAUACUAACCGCCCGAAGCCUGCCCGAGCACCCUUGUGGUGUGAGGGUUUUGGCCUAGCGCGGGACCUGAUCCCGGGAGGUAAGCGUAUUAACAGGUGUGACGCAGGAAGGUAGCCGGGCCGGGCGAUGGUUGCCCCGGUCCAAGGAUGUAGGGACCGUGAUAGGCAAAUCCGUCACGGAGCUCUUGGAUGAGCACUCCUGAGAUCUGAUGGGACCCCCGUACGGGGGGAUCCGGUGAUCCUAUGCUGCCUAGAAAAGCAUCGGCGCGAGGUUCCAGCUGCCCGUACCCCAAACCGACACAGGUGAUCAGGUAGAGAAUACCAAGGCGAUCGAGAGAAUUAUGGUUAAGGAACUCGGCAAAAUGCCCCCGUAACUUCGGGAGAAGGGGGGCCUGCACUGUGAAGCACCAUUGCGUGUGGAGCGGCAGCGGGCCGCAGAGACCAGGGGGAAGCGACUGUUUACUAAAAACACAGGUCCGUGCGAAGUCGCAAGACGAUGUAUACGGACUGACUCCUGCCCGGUGCUGGAAGGUUAAGAGGACCGGUCAGCCGCAAGGCGAAGCCGGGAAUUUAAGCCCCAGUAAACGGCGGUGGUAACUAUAACCAUCCUAAGGUAGCGAAAUUCCUUGUCGGGUAAGUUCCGACCUGCACGAAUGGAGUAACGACUUCCCCGCUGUCUCAACCAUAAACUCGGCGAAAUUGCAGUACGAGUAAAGAUGCUCGUUACGCGCAGCAGGACGGAAAGACCCCGAGACCUUUACUAUAGUUUGGUAUUGGUGUUCGGUGUGGCUUGUGUAGGAUAGGUGGGAGACUGUGAAGCCCGGACGCCAGUUCGGGUGGAGUCAUCGUUGAAAUACCACUCUGGUCAUACUGGAUAUCUAACUUCGGCCCGUAAUCCGGGUCAGGGACAGUGCCUGAUGGGUAGUUUAACUGGGGCGGUUGCCUCCUAAAGAGUAACGGAGGCGCCCAAAGGUUCCCUCAGCCUGGUUGGCAAUCAGGUGGCGAGUGUAAGUGCACAAGGGAGCUUGACUGUGAGAGAGACAUCUCAAGCAGGGACGAAAGUCGGGACUAGUGAUCCGGCGGUACAUUGUGGAAUGGCCGUCGCUCAACGGAUAAAAGGUACCUCGGGGAUAACAGGCUGAUCUUGCCCAAGAGUCCAUAUCGACGGCAUGGUUUGGCACCUCGAUGUCGGCUCGUCGCAUCCUGGGGCUGGAGUAGGUCCCAAGGGUUGGGCUGUUCGCCCAUUAAAGCGGUACGCGAGCUGGGUUUAGAACGUCGUGAGACAGUUCGGUCCCUAUCCGCUGCGCGCGCAGGAAAUUUGAGAAGGGCUGUCCUUAGUACGAGAGGACCGGGACGGACGAACCUCUGGUGUGUCAGUUGUACUGCCAAGUGCACCGCUGAUUAGCUACGUUCGGAUGGGAUAACCGCUGAAAGCAUCUAAGCGGGAAGCCUGCUUCAAGAUGAGAUUUCCAUACACCUAGCGUGUGAGAGGCCCCCAGCCAGACCACUGGGUUGAUAGGCCGGAUGUGGAAGCGGGGACUAAAGACCCGUGAAGCUGACCGGUACUAAUAGGCCGACAACUUACACCA